Molecule: ribosomal RNA, 271 nt
Filed under: uncultured bacterium
Lineage: Bacteria
Description: partial 16S ribosomal RNA
Rfam family: Bacterial small subunit ribosomal RNA
Source: RNAcentral
GUCCACGCUGUAAACGAUGAUCACUAGAUGUUAGAUCCGUUUUAGGGUUUAGUAUCGCAGCUAACGCGUUAAGUGAUCCGCCUGGGAAGUACGGUCGCAAGAUUAAAACUUAAAGGAAUUGACGGGGGUCCGCACAAGCGGUGGAACAUGUGGUUUAAUUCGACACUACGCGAGGAACCUUACCUAGGCUUGACAUGCAUUUGACAGAUAUAGAAAUAUAUUUUUCUAGACUUCGGUUUAGACAUUUGCACAGGUGCUGCAUGGCUGUCGU